This 482-nucleotide ribosomal RNA is filed under the name Neoterebra puncturosa. RNAcentral's name for it is "Euterebra puncturosa partial 12S ribosomal RNA". The record is from RNAcentral. Lineage: Eukaryota; Metazoa; Mollusca; Gastropoda; Neogastropoda; Terebridae.
CACCAAGAAAUUAAGUCAUAUUGGUAAAAAGAUAGUUUGAUUUAAUGUUUUAUAUAGAAGUAAAAUUCAGGUAUAAUAAUAUAAUUUGUUAGCUGCUCAUAAUUGAAUCUAUGAAAUCCUUAAGGGAAACUAGGAUUAGGUACCCUAUUAUUUUUGGAUAUAAAAUGACCAGAGUACUAUGAAUUAUCAAAAAUUUAAAACUCAAAGGACUUGGCGGUGUUUUAGACCAUUCAGGGGAACCUGUCUCAUAAUCGAUAAUCCGCGUUGUACCUGACCUUUUUUUGUGUUUUCAGUUUGUAUACCGUUGUCGGCAGGUAACUUUUUAGAAAUUAGAAGUUAGCAUUAGGAAGAUAGCUUAGUACGUCAAAUCAAGGUGCAGCUAAUAGAAAGGGGAGGAUGGGUUACAGUUAUAAGUUAUAAACGGAAGGUGGACUUGAAAGUAAAUUAGAUAUAAAUAAUUUGAAUAAGGCUCUGAAACGUGU